UAGGCUUGAACCUGAAUCGUCCAGCAUGGAGUAAUAGAAGAGACUGGGUUCCAUCUAUUGGUGUUAUAGCGCUUAGUAACGAUUAAUAGGGAUAGUUGGGGCAUUGUAUUUAAUUGUCAGAAGUGAAAUUCUAUGAUUUAUUAUGCGAAAGCAUUUGCCAAGGAUCUUUUCAUUAAUUAAGAACGAAAGCUAAGGGAUCAAAGAAGAUAAGAUACCGUCGAAGUCUUCACCAUAAACUAUGCCGACUAGAGAUUUAAGGUGUCAUUAA
RNAcentral lists this ribosomal RNA (268 nucleotides) under Blepharisma stoltei. It matches the Rfam family "Eukaryotic small subunit ribosomal RNA", at positions 781 to 1068 of the family's 1831-position model. The record is from RNAcentral. Lineage: Eukaryota; Ciliophora; Heterotrichea; Heterotrichida; Blepharismidae.